This 404-nucleotide ribosomal RNA is filed under the name Verrucomicrobiota bacterium. RNAcentral's name for it is "Verrucomicrobia bacterium partial 16S ribosomal RNA". It matches the Rfam family "Bacterial small subunit ribosomal RNA", at positions 355 to 776 of the family's 1533-position model. Lineage: Bacteria; Pseudomonadati; Verrucomicrobiota. The record is from RNAcentral.
UGGGGAAUAUUGGACAAUGGGGGGAACCCUGAUCCAGCGACGCCGCGUGAGUGAAGAAGUACUUCGGUAUGUAAAGCUCUAUCAGCAGGGAAGAAAAUGACGGUACCUGACUAAGAAGCCCCGGCUAACUACGUGCCAGCAGCCGCGGUAAUACGUAGGGGGCCAGCGUUAUCCGGAUUUACUGGGUGUAAAGGGAGCGCAGACGGUUUUGCAAGUCUGAAGUGAAAGCCCGAGGCUUAACCUCGGAGUUGCUUUGGAAACUGUAUAACUAGAGUAUCGGAGAGGUAAGUGGAAUUCCUAGUGUAGCGGUGAAAUGCGUAGAUAUUAGGAGGAACACCGGUGGCGAAGGCGGCUUACUGGACGAAAACUGACAUUGAGGCUCGAAGGCGUGGGGAGCAAACAGG